CGCAGACUGGCGCAGACGCACGUAAAGCACAUGUAAAAUAAAGUUGGUAACAUGGAAUAUUACAAUUCCCGCUCAUUUGAGAGGAAAAGUACAGUUGUUCUUCGGAGAUGCAGAUGAAGCAUGUCGAAUGCGGAUCAAAAUAACGAGGGAAGUAUUGGAGUGUAUUCUUUUCUACAUUUGUUCUCACUUAAUGGUGUUUUGCCGAUUGCUGUAUCAUGGAUUCAAACCGGCGCCAAUUCCAGUAAUAUAAAGUGCCUGUUUUUUAUUCGAUUCUUCGAUGGAACUAAUAAGCAGUCUAAAGCAGAUUUGAGGCGGACAUAGCAAACUGCGAUAUUCUAUAUAACCGGAAUGCCGAAUUGACUGACUGAACAUCGCUACCCGAAUCUUCGAGCGUCGUCAUGAAGCUGCUUCCGUGUUUUAUAUUUUUCAUCACAUUGGGUUAAUCUCACAAGCGACAAUGAAUGCCAUAUAAGUGUGCGCUUGGAGCAAAAGCAGGGGCAACGGAUUGUAACUGCAAGACAUCGGCCGAUAAACCUUCGCGCUUCAAAUCGUGUCGUAUUUGUUCCGCCGUAAUUUCGUAAUAUAAUAAAACGUGCGUCGGGAGUGGCGUGAUAGUUUCGCGCGAGUACGAAACGCCGUAUUUUAACGAAUCUAUAGAUGAACGCAUUUUUGCUAUAUGACAAAUAUUGGGACACGAUUUUUUUUUUACUUAGGCUUGGCUCGGGGGAGGGAAAGGUCGGUUUUAAUCAUAAAAUCUCGACUACGGCAGGGCAAUCUUCGGUUCUACGUGCAGCGCGCUAGUUGUACAGAUAGCCGGACUGUCGAAGGUAGUCGA
Non-coding RNA from Linepithema humile (Argentine ant), 835 nucleotides. The record is from RefSeq and is a predicted model, not a curated record. NCBI's taxonomy places the organism in Eukaryota, Metazoa, Arthropoda, Insecta, Hymenoptera, Formicidae.